RNAcentral lists this unclassified non-coding RNA (394 nucleotides) under uncultured fungus. Its description in RNAcentral is "sequence contains ITS1". The stretch from base 1 to 105 matches the Rfam family "5.8S ribosomal RNA", at positions 50 to 154 of the family's 154-position model. The record is from RNAcentral. Lineage: Eukaryota; Fungi.
GAAAUGCGAUACUUGGUGUGAAUUGCAGAAUUCAGUGAAUCAUCGAAUCUUUGAACGCACAUUGCGCUCUCUGGUAUUCCGGAGAGCAUGCCUGUUUGAGUAUCAAUACCAUCUCUCAUACGAAGUUCUCUUUUGAAUUAGUAUGGAUUUGGGCCAUCCCAGAGCUUUCGGGCACCGAGUGGCUUUAAAUGUAUUGUUUGGCUCGACUUCAAGAAUGAAAGCCCAAGAAAAGCGCGACAAGAACCGCAGGGAGCUCUGGCUCUCUCAUGGUUUCUAUCCGCUCGACUUGACGUUACCUUUUGACUUCACCAGCCUUCUCAAACUCUAUACACUCUCGUCUCACGACGUUUGUGAUCUUGAUCUCAAAUCAGGCAAGACUACCCGCUGAACUUAA